UAGGGCGUAGUGUAAUUGGCAACACGGCAGUCUCCAAAACUGCAAUUUGGGGUUCAAGUCCCUGCGUCCUAGCCA
Molecule: transfer RNA, 75 nt
Filed under: Oleiphilus sp. HI0009
Lineage: Bacteria; Pseudomonadati; Pseudomonadota; Gammaproteobacteria; Oceanospirillales; Oleiphilaceae
Description: tRNA-Trp
Rfam family: tRNA
About the family: Transfer RNA (tRNA) molecules are approximately 80 nucleotides in length. Their secondary structure includes four short double-helical elements and three loops (D, anti-codon, and T loops).
Source: RNAcentral